CGGGAGGCUGAGGCAGGAGAACCGCUUGAACCCGGGGGGCAGAGGUUGCAGUGAGCCAAGAUCAUGCCACUGCACUCCAGCCUGGGUGACAGAGCGAGACUGUCUCAAAACAAACAAACAAAUAAAAAACACAGAUAGGGUCUCACUGUGUUGCCCAGGCUGGUCUCGAACUCCUUGGCUCAAGCAAUCCUCCCACCUCAGCCUACCAAAGUGCUGGUAUUAUAGGUAUGAGCCACCGCACCUGGCCUCAACCUCCUUAAACUAUAUUUUUCCUCCUCUCUCCUCUGCCUUCUUCCCAUGAGCACUAGGACUGAAAUUUUCUGUCCUUCUCCAUUUCCCUGAAAUUGUAAUAAAUUGAUGUUGAGAGAAAGAAAAAAGUUGAAUAAGGGAAUAUAUAUAUAUAGGAAGAUAGCUCCUAAAUAUUAUACCCAUUUUAUAAUGCAAAGAGGAAAAACACAAAAUGCAAAAUGCAUAUACACUAUCAACAGAAAUUAUGUAUAUAGAAAGGUCUAAAAAUAUUUAUUUUAUUUAAAAAAAUUUAACUGACACACAAUUGUACAUAUUUAUGGGGUACAAUGUGAUAUUUCAAUACAUGUAUACAUUGUGCAAUGAUCAAAUCAGGGUAAUUAGCAUUCCCAUCAUCUCAAACAUUUAUCUUUUCUUUGUAGUAAAAACAUUCAAAAUCCUCUCUUCUAGCUAUUUUGAAAUAUACAACUACAGUCAUCCUACUGUGCAAUAGGACACCAGAACUUAUCCCACCUACCUAAUUGUAACUUUGUACCCACUGACCAAUCUCUCUCCAUGAUACCCUCCUCCCUCCCCUCCCCAGUCUCUGGUAACUACUGUUCUAUUUUGUAUUUCUAUAAGAUCAGCUUUUUAAAUUCCACGAGUGAGAGCUUGCAGUAUUUGUCUGUGUCUGGCUUAUUUCACUUAAUAUAAUGUCUUCCAGGUUCAUCCAUGUUGUGGCAAAUAACAGGAUUUCAUCCUUUUUAUGACUUAAUAGUAUUCUAUUAUAUAUAUUAUAUAUAAUUAUAUGAUAUAUUAUAUAUUAUAUAUUAUAUAUAAUUAUAUUAUAUAU
Molecule: long non-coding RNA, 1078 nt
Filed under: Homo sapiens (human)
Lineage: Eukaryota; Metazoa; Chordata; Mammalia; Primates; Hominidae
Description: HSALNT0335166
Source: RNAcentral